Non-coding RNA from Caenorhabditis elegans, 198 nucleotides. Lineage: Eukaryota; Metazoa; Nematoda; Chromadorea; Rhabditida; Rhabditidae. The record is from Ensembl.
AGCUCCACCUCCUCCCGGAAUCCCGGAGCACACAUACACAAACACCCCUUUUCUAUAUAAGAACAAAUAAGAAAGGGGCCUGGUGCAUGUGCUCUGUGCUCAACGUCUUCUUCUGCUCCGUCUUCUGAUAGUGAUUGAGAGCGUGAUAGAGAGACGCAGACCGAUGGGGGGACCAAUGGAGCUUUUGCCAAGGCAAGG